AGAGUUUGAUCAUGGCUCAGGAUGAACGCUGGCGGUAUGCCUAACACAUGCAAGUCGAACGGGUAUCUUCGGAUAUUAGUGGCGGACAGGUGAGUAACGCGUGAGAAUCUGCCUUCAGGAUGGGGACAACAGUUGGAAACGACUGCUAAUACCCGAUAUGACGAAAGUUGAAAGAUUUAUCGCCUGGAGAUGAGCUCGCGUCAGAUUAGCUAGAUGGUGUGGUAAAGGCGCACCAUGGCGACGAUCUGUAGCUGGUCUGAGAGGAUGAGCAGCCACACUGGGACUGAGACACGGCCCAGACUCCUACGGGAGGCAGCAGUGGGGAAUUUUCCGCAAUGGGCGCAAGCCUGACGGAGCAAUACCGCGUGAGGGAGGAAGGCUCUUGGGUCGUAAACCUCUUUUCUCAGGGAAGAACAAAAUGACGGUACCUGAGAAUCAGAUCCGAUGGGCCC
RNAcentral lists this ribosomal RNA (452 nucleotides) under uncultured cyanobacterium. Its description in RNAcentral is "bacterial SSU rRNA". It matches the Rfam family "Bacterial small subunit ribosomal RNA", at positions 8 to 503 of the family's 1533-position model. Lineage: Bacteria; Bacillati; Cyanobacteriota. The record is from RNAcentral.